CCUACGGGUGGCAGCAGUGAGGAAUAUUGGUCAAUGGACGAGAGUCUGAACCAGCCAAGUAGCGUGAAGGAUGACUGCCCUAUGGGUUGUAAACUUCUUUUAUAUGGGAAUAAAAUGUUCCACGUGUGGGAUUUUGUAUGUACCAUAUGAAUAAGGAUCGGCUAACUCCGUGCCAGCAGCCGCGGUAAUACGGAGGAUCCGAGCGUUAUCCGGAUUUAUUGGGUUUAAAGGGAGCGUAGGUGGAUUGUUAAGUCAGUUGUGAAAGUUUGCGGCUCAACCGUAUAAUUGCAGUUGAAACUGGCAGUCUUGAGUACAGUAGAGGUGGGCGGAAUUCGUGGUGUAGCGGUGAAAUGCUUAGAUAUCACGAAGAACUCCGAUUGCGAAGGCAGUUCACUGGACUGCAACUGACACUGAGGCUCGAAAGUGUGGGUAUCAAACAGGAUUAGAUACCCUAGUAGUC
This 460-nucleotide ribosomal RNA is filed under the name uncultured bacterium. RNAcentral describes it as "partial 16S ribosomal RNA". It matches the Rfam family "Bacterial small subunit ribosomal RNA", at positions 338 to 795 of the family's 1533-position model. The record is from RNAcentral.